Molecule: ribosomal RNA, 555 nt
Filed under: uncultured beta proteobacterium
Lineage: Bacteria; Pseudomonadati; Pseudomonadota; Betaproteobacteria
Description: bacterial SSU rRNA
Rfam family: Bacterial small subunit ribosomal RNA
Source: RNAcentral
GGCGGCAUGCCUUACACAUGCAAGUCGAACGGCAGCACGGGGGCAACCCUGGUGGCGAGUGGCGAACGGGUGAGUAAUACAUCGGAACGUGUCCUGUAGUGGGGGAUAGCCCGGCGAAAGCCGGAUUAAUACCGCAUACGAUCUGUGGAUGAAAGCGGGGGAUCUUCGGACCUCGCGCUGCAGGGGCGGCCGAUGGCAGAUUAGCUAGUUGGUGGGGUAAAGGCCUACCAAGGCGACGAUCUGUAGCUGGUCUGAGAGGACGACCAGCCACACUGGGACUGAGACACGGCCCAGACUCCUACGGGAGGCAGCAGUGGGGAAUUUUGGACAAUGGGCGAAAGCCUGAUCCAGCAAUGCCGCGUGUGUGAAGAAGGCCUUCGGGUUGUAAAGCACUUUUGUCCGGAAAGAAAACCUCGUGGUUAAUACCCGUGGGGGAUGACGGUACCGGAAGAAUAAGCACCGGCUAACUACGUGCCAGCAGCCGCGGUAAUACGUAGGGUGCAAGCGUUAAUCGGAAUUACUGGGCGUUAAAGCGUGCGCAGGCGGUUCGCUAAG